This is a long non-coding RNA of Balaenoptera ricei (Rice's whale), 360 nucleotides long. RefSeq lists it as uncharacterized. The record is from RefSeq and is a predicted model, not a curated record. Lineage: Eukaryota; Metazoa; Chordata; Mammalia; Artiodactyla; Balaenopteridae. The transcript is spliced from 3 exons.
AAAUGGAGAACAGGAUCGCGGAAACCAUUUUGCCCACUGGCUCGCAUUGGCAGUGCCGGAGCAAGGCUGCAGGAGGAAGCCCUGGGCAGCGGUAUGUGACGCAGGUGGCCACGCAUCAAUUCCAGUUGUGUUCAAAGCCAGCGGCCCUGUUUUCUCAGGUGCUGUGGCUUGGAAGAAAACUGGAUAUGCAGGAACCCAGGAUGAGGAAAAGUCAUAUGCUCACUCCUCUGGCCCUCUCUUCAAGUCUUCAGAUUGAUCUAGGCAGUCCACUGCUCUCUCUGUCCUUUCCUCAGAGAGUUGAGGCCAUCUAGAAGUGUGGAAUAGAUGGGAGACAAGACAACAUGGCAUUAUUUUCAUAAU